Molecule: ribosomal RNA, 449 nt
Filed under: uncultured bacterium
Lineage: Bacteria
Description: partial 16S ribosomal RNA
Rfam family: Bacterial small subunit ribosomal RNA
Source: RNAcentral
AACGAACGCUGGCGGCAGGCCUAACACAUGCAAGUCGAGCGCUGUAGCAAUACAGAGCGGCGCACGGGAUAAUAACGCGUGGGAACCUACCUUAUGGUUCGGAAUAACAUCGGGAAACUGGUGCUAAUACCGGAUAAGCCCUUCGGGGGAAAGAUUUAUUGCCAUUAGAUGGGCCCGCGUUAGAUUAGCUAGUUGGUGAGGUAACGGCUCACCAAGGCGACGAUCUAUAGCUGGUCUGAGAGGAUGAUCAGCAUCACUGGGACUGAGACACGGCCCAGACUCCUACGGGAGGCAGCAGUGGGGAAUAUUGGACAAUGGGGGAAACCCUGAUCCAGCCAUGCCGCGUGAAUGAUGAAGGCCUUCGGGUUGUAAAGUUCUUUUGACGGGGACGAUGAUGACGGUACCCGUAGAAUAAGCUCCGGCUAACUUCGUGCCAGCAGCCGCAGUAA